AAUAUUGCACAAUGGAGGGAACUCUGAUGCAGCAACGCCGCGUGAGUGAAGAAGGUUUNCGGAUCNUNAAACUCUGUCAUUGGGGNAGAAUAAAUGACGGUACCCAAUGAGGAAGCCCCGGCUAACUACGUGCCAGCAGCCGCGGUAAUACGUAGGGGGCGAGCGUUGUCCGGAAUUAUUGGGCGUAAAGCGCGCGCAGGCGGUCUUUUAAGUCUGAUGUGAAAUCUUACAGCUUAACUGUAAGCGGUCAUUGGAAACUGGGAGACUUGAGUGCAGAAGAGGAGAGUGGAAUUCCAUGUGUAGCGGUGGAAUGCGUAGAGAUAUGGAGGAACACCAGUGGCGAAGGCGACUCUCUGGUCUGUAACUGACGCUGAGGCACGAAAGCGUGGGGAUCAAACA
Molecule: ribosomal RNA, 399 nt
Filed under: uncultured bacterium
Lineage: Bacteria
Description: partial 16S ribosomal RNA
Rfam family: Bacterial small subunit ribosomal RNA
Source: RNAcentral